CCAUCUUGGCGUUUGUGUCACUUCAUCUGAAUGACAAGAAUGCAGUUCUGUCGGUGCAGCAAACCGGUAUAUGCAUGAUGUUAAUAAGAGACACUUCUUAGCAUAACUUCAUUCUAAGGCGGAGAACCGACUCCUCGCAAUUCGUAGUUUGUAGUUUUCUGUCUUUAAUACUACUACUACUACUAAUAGGCAAUUAAUUUCGGGUGAUGGCGAAAGGACUGAAGCAAAUUCGUAGGGUCAUGAGCAGCACGGUCAAGUACAAUUUGACGGUGGAGAUCGCGGAUGAGGAGCAGACCUCGGUGCCAGUCUCGGUACGGGCCUCGGACACGGUGCGCGAUCUCCGGAUCAAGUUGGUGAGAAAGGGCAUCACGUCCUGGAAACACACGUUCACGUACAAAGGAAGGCAGCUGGGCGAAAACGAGGUCUUUAAACACACCGGGAUUCGAAACGGAGCGCAACUUGUUCUAAGGAAAGAUGAAGACAUCGAGGAUAGCCAUAAGUAACAGAACCUCCACAAAAGGUGAAAAGAUUUGGGUGCUGCCAAGGAGUCCUAAAGAGAAAGGAGCGAACAAAAUGGUAUUCGGUUUCACUCAGGCAAGAAGUGGACAGCUAUAGAAGUCACACUACGGGGUCCUGGAAUCCAAACAGGCCUGUGCUACAAUUCUGUUCGGUAGCAGGGAUGAUUGAGUCACAUGUCAGCCCAGUGACGUCUUCCAGUGGUUGACAGGAUGCCUACCAGAGACCAGGAUGGAGGACCUCUCCCAAGCCACGGUCGUGGAGACGAGGUGAGAUGUGGAGGCUGUUUCGUGUCCACCUGAGGCACAGUCAGAGGUUUCCAGAGGUGAUCAUUAUAAUGGUACUGACUGGGACCCGUCCACCUGUACACUAGGAACUCAGACCACCUCUCACUGCUCUCCGAACAGCAAACUCAUGGGAGAUGAGUUGUGAUUGCUUUGGGUUGGAAUAGUGUAGCCCCUGUAACUCUGUGAUGUUUACAACAUAGGCAAACACCCAAUGUGGGUCUUACACAGGGGCUGGACAGAAUAAUAGAAACUGAGAAGAACAAGAGUUUUUCAGGUUCAGAAUUUAAAUGAAUGGUUGAACAUUCUUUUAUUUUGAAUAUUGAAGUAUUGUGCCAUAUUAAAAUACUAAUAACACAAUCUAAGGAGUAAAAAUAAGCCCAAUACAGAAUGAGACCACACUCGUUUGUACAGAAUAAUGGGUGUUAUUUAUUUCAGACUUCAUUUAAUCAAUUUUUGGGGGAUAAAUUCUGAAUAUGAACAUUUUUGCCACCAAAUACCUUUCCAGUUAAAUAUUCAAUUAUUUCACCCUGCACAAUCUAUAACACACUUUAAAAUAAAUAUGCAUCUAAUGAGGAAAAUGAAAUGCCAGUAAUAUAUAAAAUCUUCAAAUCGUCAUGCUGCAAAUACAUCCCAGUGGUAUGAAGCCUGAGUAUUGAUUCCAUCCUCAUUGUGUUGCCAUUGCUGGUAAUUCAACAUUUCUUCUGGGAAAUGAUUAUAAUGGUGUUCCAACAAGAACAGAGCAGUGUUUUUUUAAGCUCUGGGUGCAAUUCACACAAAGUGCCACCAGAUGGCAGUGUAAACUCUGCGGAGGGACUUUGAAUCGCCAGCACAAGCAAUCAGGCAGGGUAAGCUCUGAACAGACUAGACAAAACAGGGCGCUCCAGCUGCUGCAAGUUUAAUGAGCUGAGAAAUAAACGCUGGUUGUAAAGAGCUGGUUCUGCGUUACUUAACAAUGUCUUUAUCUCCUAUUAAUCUGGAGCUGCUAAUGUGUUCACCGGCCUGCGCAGUUAACAUGGGUUCUGUUAGGUCUCAUUUACACCCGAGUCAUGAACGGGAGGGUAGUUCCUGACAUGUUUACCCACAGCGGGCCUGUUUUGUUUUCUUUCAUUCUUACUUGAAAGUACCUAUUAUUUCACUGUCUGUGCAAUGUGAUGCUCGCAGUGGCACACUUUUGUUCUCUACCUGGUUCCUCUGUGCCCCUUAAAUCAAUCAAAAUGUGACACUUAACAAAGCAAUGCCCUAAAUUCCACCUGCUUUGCACUUCUGUUCUGUAGGUCUCAGGUGUGCGAGGGUGCUAGCAUUUUACCAGACUGACCAGCUGUUUCCUGUAAAAACUGCUUGCUCUUCAUACCUUUGUGUAAUGUGCUUCACUUUUCUCUGCAUAGGUUGUGAUUUGAUACCCCUAAAUCAUACCCUUUCGGGCACCCGUAUUCAUUUAUUUUUAAAUGAAAGUAUUUGAUCCAUUUUGUAACAACUGGUAGUCCUGAAGUGAAGUGACCGUUACCGUCGGAGAACUGCUGGUGCCAUGGCAACAAAAACAGUGCUCAUGCUAAAAACUGGAUUCAA
Molecule: RNA transcript, 2369 nt
Organism: Polyodon spathula (Mississippi paddlefish)
Lineage: Eukaryota; Metazoa; Chordata; Actinopteri; Acipenseriformes; Polyodontidae
Gene name: putative ubiquitin domain-containing protein TINCR
Exons: 3
Source: RefSeq, a predicted model, not a curated record